UACGUAGGGGGCAAGCGUUGUCCGGAUUUAUUGGGCGUAAAGAGCGUGUAGGCGGCCAGACAGGUCCGUUGUGAAAACUCGAGGCUCAACCUCGAGACGCCGAUGGAAACCGUUUGGCUAGAGUCCGGAAGAGGAGAGUGGAAUUCCUGGUGUAGCGGUGAAAUGCGCAGAUAUCAGGAAGAACACCCGUGGCUAAGGCGGCUCUCUAGUACGGUACUGACGCUGAGGCGCGAAAGCUAGGGGAGCAAACGGG
Molecule: ribosomal RNA, 253 nt
Filed under: uncultured bacterium
Lineage: Bacteria
Description: partial 16S ribosomal RNA
Rfam family: Bacterial small subunit ribosomal RNA
Source: RNAcentral